RNAcentral lists this RNase P RNA (338 nucleotides) under Anaerostipes butyraticus. RNAcentral's name for it is "Bacterial RNase P class A". It matches the Rfam family "Bacterial RNase P class A". Rfam says of the family: Ribonuclease P (RNase P) is a ubiquitous endoribonuclease, found in archaea, bacteria and eukarya as well as chloroplasts and mitochondria. The record is from RNAcentral. Lineage: Bacteria; Bacillati; Bacillota; Clostridia; Lachnospirales; Lachnospiraceae.
CAAAUGGCCGCGCCAUUUCAGACGAAAGGGAAAUGGUGAGGAAAGUCCGGGCUUCACAGGGCAGGAUGCCGGAUAACGUCCGGUAGGGGUGACCCUCAAGCCAGUGCAACAGAAAUAAACCGCCGGUUUGAUGACCGGUAAGGGUGGAAAGGCAAGGUAAGAGCUUACCGCCUGUCUGGUAACAGACAGGGCACAUGUAAACCUCAUCCGAAGCAAGACCGAAUAGAAAACGAUAAAUUGGCCCGAUUUGUUUUCAGGUGGGUCGCAUGAGCCUGCUGGCGACAGCAGGUCGAGAUAGAUGGCCAUUCAAUGACAGAACCCGGCUUAUCGGCUGUCUG